Molecule: small RNA, 27 nt
Filed under: Arabidopsis thaliana (thale cress)
Lineage: Eukaryota; Viridiplantae; Streptophyta; Magnoliopsida; Brassicales; Brassicaceae
Description: ATSL053170
Source: RNAcentral
CAACCAAAGAAGGGCGUGAAGCAAACU